RNAcentral lists this ribosomal RNA (374 nucleotides) under uncultured organism. RNAcentral's name for it is "bacterial SSU rRNA". It matches the Rfam family "Bacterial small subunit ribosomal RNA", at positions 526 to 896 of the family's 1533-position model. The record is from RNAcentral.
CGGGGGGAGCAAGCGUUGUUCGGAUUUACUGGGCGUAAAGGGCGCGUAGGCGGCCACCGCAAGUCGACUGUGAAAUCUCCGGGCUUAACCCGGAAAGGUCAGCCGAUACUGCGGGGCUAGAGUGCAGAAGGGGCAACUGGAAUUCUCGGUGUAGCGGUGAAAUGCGUAGAUAUCGAGAGGAACACCUGCGGCGAAGGCGGGUUGCUGGGCUGACACUGACGCUGAGGCGCGAAAGCUAGGGGAGCGAACGGGAUUAGAUACCCCGGUAGUCCUAGCCUUAAACGAUGAAUGCUUGGUGUCUGGGGUUUUAUAGUCCCCGGGUGCCGUCGCUAACGCUUUAAGCAUUCCGCCUGGGGAGUACGGUCGCAAGACCG